GACCGCCUGCCCUGUUGGUGAUUAUAUGAGAAAGUUAUUCCGACUCACGUAAGUUCGGGAGCCUUAGUAAGAGCGCUCAGAGAGCAUGCCGCUUUAGGCGGAAGCCCAACGCGUUCUUUUCGGCACCCACCUGUGAAAGCAGGGACUUAACUUUCUUGUGUACACCGCAAGGGCGGGUUUUAU
This 183-nucleotide non-coding RNA is filed under the name Nitrospirota bacterium. RNAcentral describes it as "Nitrospirae bacterium (sediment metagenome) 6S RNA". It matches the Rfam family "6S / SsrS RNA". Rfam says of the family: E. coli 6S RNA was the first non coding RNA to be sequenced, but its function was unknown until recently. It consists of 184 nucleotides that fold into an extended hairpin structure with a large single-stranded internal bulge. The 6S RNA specifically associates with RNA polymerase holoenzyme containing the sigma70 specificity factor. Lineage: Bacteria; Pseudomonadati; Nitrospirota. The record is from RNAcentral.